GUGGAUUAGAUACCCUGGUAGUCCACGCCCUAAACUAUGUCAACUAGUUGUCGGGGAAGCAAUUCCUUGGUAACGAAGCUAACGCGUGAAGUUGACCGCCUGGGGAGUACGGUCGCAAGAUUAAAACUCAAAGGAAUUGACGGGGGCCCGCACAAGCGGUGGAUGAUGUGGAUUAAUUCGAUGCAACGCGAAAAACCUUACCUACCCUUGACAUGCCCGGAAGCCAGAUGAGAGUUUGGCGUGCUCGAAAGAGAGCCGGGACACAGGUGCUGCACGGCCGUCGCCAACU
Molecule: ribosomal RNA, 289 nt
Filed under: uncultured bacterium
Lineage: Bacteria
Description: partial 16S ribosomal RNA
Rfam family: Bacterial small subunit ribosomal RNA
Source: RNAcentral